Molecule: non-coding RNA, 165 nt
Organism: Podarcis lilfordi (Lilford's wall lizard)
Lineage: Eukaryota; Metazoa; Chordata; Lepidosauria; Squamata; Lacertidae
Source: the annotation of a GenBank genome assembly
UCCAGAGCGCAGCAGGAGUUCCUGCUGCACUCGGGAGGCUUCAGGCUUCAGGCGGCUAUCCCCAAGCCUUCGGAGUGCAGCGGGAACUCCUGCUGUGCUCCGAAGGCUUGGGGAUAGCUGCCUGAAGCCUCCAGAGCGCAGCGGGAGUUCCUGCUGCACUCCGGA